UAGCUCAGUUGGUAGAGCAGUUGACUUUUAAUCAAUUGGUCGCAGGUUCGAAUCCUGCACGACCCACCAAUCAUUCGGUGGAAACGAGAAUAAAACGUGAAGGAUAACGUUGCUUUAGCAACGGCCAGAAGGGCGAGGCGAAGCCGAGUCAUCCUGCACGACCCACCA
This 168-nucleotide small RNA is filed under the name Salmonella enterica subsp. diarizonae serovar 38:[k]:-. Its description in RNAcentral is "RtT sRNA". The stretch from base 1 to 66 matches the Rfam family "tRNA". Lineage: Bacteria; Pseudomonadati; Pseudomonadota; Gammaproteobacteria; Enterobacterales; Enterobacteriaceae. The record is from RNAcentral.